CAGCAGAUUCCAUUUAAUGUCAUGUGCAUAUAUCCAUACAUUUACUUAUGUCAAUGGUUUUGAUGUGCAUGACGCCAGGCCUUGAAAAAUCUACUAGUUCAUUUACUUCUGGGAGCGUGAAUUCUCUCUUGAGGUGGGUUUGCUUUUUUUUUUUUAAACCUACUUUCACCCAUAUAGUUGCCAAGAUAAUACCAUCAACUGAAGGUAAAGCAGGCAGAGCUGAUCCCUAGAAUUUGCAGACAGCUCUGCAAAUACUGUUGCAAAGGGUUCUGCCAAGAAGCAUGGGCCAUGAAGAAAUCCCCUCCCUCAAAGGGAGAAAGAAAACUGGUAAGAAAUGGGUUAGUCUUGUUUAGCAUCCCAAGCAACAGCGAGACAAGGCGGCGGAAGUAACACACCAUAAAUUCUCCAAGGAAGUUUUUGGCCAAGGCUGAGGAACAGGGCAAAGAAGUAGAGAUAAACCCCUCCCCCCUCCAAAAAAAAAGAACUGACACUUUUCCUUUCCGUCAUCUAAGUGACAGGACUGGUAGAUCCUGCAGUCAUGGAUGUUUACCCUGCGAUGCGCUCCGUCCCAGCAGUUUCACAGUAGAUUUUUCAAGCCCUGGUGAUGGCUCCCAGGAAGGCUUCUCCCGUCUGCUCCUGGCUCCCACACGAUCAGAAUCUAUUGCAUAGCAUUUAUUUCAGAUAAGGCACUGUUUUGCCAAAUGCGAACAGCAAUUCAAAACCAAUGCAGUUUCCAUACAGUCCAAAUUUGAUGGCCUACAGUGCAAUAACACAUAAAAUUAAAGGCAAGGUUUGGAAGAAUAAACCCAGCUUUAAAUUUAAACUUAAUAUUAAAAAGAUAAAGGAAACUACAUUUUUCAAAAGCCUCUUUAUUUUCCUUCACCAUUGUUGUUUUACAAUACAAAUAUCACCUUGUGAAUACACAAAAACCCUACAGAAGAUAACUCUGCUUCACGUAAAAUACAGAAUGGAUAUAUAUAUAUUUAUAUAUAUAUAUUUUCUCUUCUUCAUUCUUUAAAAAAACUAUUUUGCUCUGCACAUUGGCAAUUUUAGGAUAGAAUUCUUCCCCAAACAUACAUUAUGUAUGGUAGGAGUGAAACUUAUAAUUACAUGCAGUUUCUGCACAAAUAUUUUAAAGAAAUAGAAUAUCUUUGUUGUUUUUCAACAACAUUUCAAUACGGGAUGGAGAAACCAUUUGUAGUUCACUCAGUGAUCAUUUGUAAAGUUCUUAAAAAACAGGAAUUCAUGGCUGUUUUUCUUUUUAAAAUACAGCUACCAGGUAGACAAUAAAGUGAUAACUUUUAGUGUGACCUGUCCACAAUGUGUGAGCAAGAUCGGACCCUUUUUAUUUGGUUUUUUCCCCCUACACAUGGCAAUUUCAACAUUAUAAGCAAAUUUCCAGUUUAAUUUAGCUAUAAAUGCAAAAAUUAGUAAUUAUACAGUAUAUAUAAUUCUGCUUUCAUGGAAUACUUUAUUUUAAAUAAAAACAUUUAAGACUGCCUACUGACCAUACAAUCAAGACAAGAAAGGCACUAGAAACAUAGACAAAUCUCUCUCUCCCAAGAAGCACUUUCUUUAAAUUUUAACUCUCUAUUCUCUGACAUGUAAAAAUCUUUUUAAAUUUAAUUUUCAUACACAUUUUGAAAAAUAAAGUUAGGAAAUACUUAGAAAACCACUUUACAACUUUUUUUUCUUUUUUUUUUCUUUUUUCUUUUUUUGCACUUUUUGACACAGUCACUGCAGAUUCUACAAAAUCAAGAUUACCAAACCUUCCUGUGUCUAUCACCUUAUUCAUAGCAUGGUGCAACAGGUAAAAAGAUUUCUUGAUUUUACCCAAGGCAGGUAUUUAGAAACCUUCACAUAGUCAUUUGCUAGAAAAUGGCUUACAGCCCAAUCUUUGGGGCAAGAGAUAUGAAAAGUAUGUUUUCCCAAGAAAAUAAUAUGUUUUAUUCCCAGACGUGACUGGAAAGACCAGAACUUAUGAUAUAAAAGCUUUCAUUUAUGUCGUCGCAUCAUAUACAAAGGAACAU
This is a long non-coding RNA of Strigops habroptila (Kakapo), 2030 nucleotides long. The record is from Ensembl. Lineage: Eukaryota; Metazoa; Chordata; Aves; Psittaciformes; Psittacidae.